GGGGAUGUGGCUCAAGCGAUAGCGCGCUCGCCUAGCAUGCGUGCGGCCCGAGUUCGAUCCUCAGCAGCACCA
Molecule: non-coding RNA, 72 nt
Organism: Ictidomys tridecemlineatus (thirteen-lined ground squirrel)
Lineage: Eukaryota; Metazoa; Chordata; Mammalia; Rodentia; Sciuridae
Source: Rfam